Molecule: long non-coding RNA, 21583 nt
Filed under: Medicago truncatula (barrel medic)
Lineage: Eukaryota; Viridiplantae; Streptophyta; Magnoliopsida; Fabales; Fabaceae
Description: long non-coding RNA (MTRU_LNC001962)
Source: RNAcentral
UCACACUAGCUUAUGCUCCGAGCACAGCCCUCAGUUAUAUGAAGCAUGAUAAUAAGGAACUGUCGAUCUCAUUUAAGUUGUUAAGAAAAGUAGAUUCUUAUUUUAUUUACUGAUGUCUUAACAUAAAAGUUUUGUUCAUUGAGGCUGAGCCAUGGAAUUAUUCUCUCACAAGAGACCUUGAUGCUGGCCACAUAAAUGUUUUGCAACAAGAUUAUGAGGGAGAUUUUAGAAAAGAAGAUAGUGUAUUUGUUAUAUAGAAAAUCAUCAAGGGGUCUAACUAAUUGACCUCCCAUACCUUCUUAUAGACAACAUUUUGUCUUCCUUGAAAUUUAAAGAUAAACUGACAACAGGGAUAUGAACCACCUAAUUCAGAUAGAAAGGAGGGAGUUCUAGGAAGGAAGCGCGGAGAGUAUCUUGACUGUAUUUCUCAGUAUUAUGAUAUUCCUGAUUCUGAACGUUCAGACGAUGAGGUCAACAUGCUUCGCCAGGUAUUCAGAGCUCUAAUAUAUUCUUGUUUUGAUUGUUUGUGGAAACAGUAUUAUUCUUUUUAAUAGCUGCCAUUGUAUGUUUGUUAGAUUGCCGUUGAUUGUCCAAGAACUGUACCUGACGUUACAUUCUUCCAGCAACAGCAAGUUCAGAAAUCAUUGGAACGUAUUCUUUAUGCAUGGUAAAAUAUAUUUUUACCCAUUUAUUGGUCCCAAUAUUUUUAGUCUGGUGUUCUCUGUCAUGGAUAAUUUUCUUAGGUGAAAGAUGACUCUUAGCUGCUUGGCUAAGAAAGUCAUACAGCACAACUUCCCCAGUAUUAGGGUAUGUUAGUAUGUACCAUUGUGUACCCACUAGAUACUGGUACUUGAUAUGUAUCCAUUACUGGUAUGACAAUAAUUCAGGAGCGCCAUGCAUCAUAUGUUACACCGGUUUUAGAAGAUAGGACUUCUACUUGCUUUUUAAAUACUGUACUUAAUCUAGUCCUGGUACAAAAAAAGUUACCAGACGGUGUUAUUGCUCGUUAGUAGAAUUUGUUUGUUGCUAUAUCUCCUUUUAAGUAAACUGGUACAUACGAAUUCAACUGUCAACUGUUUAUGGUACUGAAUGACACUCUUGGUGAAUCUUAGAAGAGGCAUAGUCAUAUAUACCAUUCUAGAAAUGGUUUGCUUUUACUUAUAUAAUUUUUCAAUAUUUUGUCAGGGCCAUUCGACAUCCUGCAAGUGGAUAUGUCCAGGGGAUAAAUGAUCUCGUUACACCGUUUUUAGUUGUUUUUAUAUCAGAACACUUAGAAGGGGGUAUAGAUGAUUGGUCAAUGUCCGAUUUAUCUUCAGACAAAAUCUCUAAUGUAGAGGCUGACUGCUACUGGUGUUUGUCAAAGUUGCUUGACGGUAUGCAAGACCAUUACACAUUUGCUCAACCUGGAAUUCAGAGGCUUGUUUUUAAAUUGAAGGAAUUGGUCAGGAGGAUAGAUGGUACACUUUUUGCUCAGGACUUUUGUUUUCCUUCAAGCAUUGCUAUAAUUUCAUGAACUUAAAUGCCUCACCACCUAUUUAUGGAUUUCAUACCAUUCUAUUCUCAAGUUUUCAUUUUUCAUUUUUUAUUUUCAAAUAGUGUUCUUAAUUCUAAAUUCUAGUAAUAUUAAUAAUUAGUUUACGUUUUUAGAGUAAAAAUACUCUCAUUAAUAAUUAUUUUAAGUUUUUAGAGUAAAAGUGCUCUCAGAUAGUGUCGAAAGUUGAUCAUCAUCAUCUUAUUUAUCCAUUGGUUAAAGAUACAUAAUUCAUUGAUAUGAAUUAACAAACUUGAUCAUUAAUUUUGUUGCCGUGUUAUUAUUUGUAUAUCUUUGAAAUAUAAUCUGAUCUGAUGUGUCCUGUUGGAACUUUUGAACUGCGUCAGAGCCUAUUUCACAACAUAUAGAGGAUCAGGGACUUGAAUUUCUUCAAUUUGCUUUCCGGUGGUUCAACUGUCUUUUGAUCCGCGAGGUUUGCCCUGACAAUCUUUUCCUUUAUAAGCAGGUUAAUUUGAGUCAGCUAGGAUAAAGUUUCCAGAAGCACUUGUGGAAAUAGAAAUGUUAUGAACAUCUUAUAAUUACCGGGUUUUUUAAAUAAUAGUUUCUUGUAUAACCAUAUAAGUUAGAAAUUAGUUACACAGUUCAAUAUUUUCUGAUGAUUUUCUCGUAAUUUGUCAAUAAACAUAUACAAGAUUAAUUUUGGAGGUGAAGAACCAUACAAUUAUUUUAAUUGAGAAGCUUUUGUUAAGUUAAAAACUAAUCCAAACCCCUAUCUUUCUCAAGAACAACUUCAUAUGUGUCAAUAAUAAAGUUUCUGAAUGGUAAAAUGGACUAUGACAAACAUGAAUUGAUUUAUGCUCUUACUAAGGCUGAUAUCUGAUUUCAUAACUAGAUACCAUUCGAUCUCAUCACACGCCUUUGGGACACAUAUCUAGCUGAAGGAGACGCCUUGCCAGACUUCCUUGUAUAUAUAUUUGCCAGUUUCCUUCUAACGGUGAGCUAGCUUACUUUGGCCUUUCCACUAAAAUAAUAUAUUUGAAUUAAAUUUCAUCUCCUAGUCAUGCUGUUCAGGAAUGGUACUUGUUGGUCAUGUUAAUGUGUAGUUUUUACCUCUUCCGGUACAUACCGUCUGAUAAUGCUGAGCCUGAUUUCCAGUUUUGUUCGCAAUAAAACAAACUUGUCGUUUGCUUUUGCACCACUUUUGCUAUUUAAGAUAAAUGGUUUUCGAAGAGAUUUCCUUUUGUACCGGGAUGUUUUCAACGUGCAUUGAAGUUGCAUAAUGAAGAAUGCAAUUCUAGCAUUUAUGGAUGUACUUGCAUUCCCUAAUUGUCUACGUCCAGUUCGACGUGCAUGCACAUGCACUUGUUAAUAAUUUCUUUUUUCCCUGCUGUAUUUUGUAUGGUUGCUUAGAUUAUUUACACUCUCUUCUUACUCAUAUCAAUGCUUAACCCAUAGAAACUAGAAACUGAAUGUAUAUAUAUAUUUUUCCUUUAGUGGUCAGACAAACUCCAGAGGUUGGAAUUCCAGGAGUUGGUAAUGUUCCUUCAACACCUUCCAACUCAGAACUGGACUCACCAGGACCUCGAGAUGGUGCUUUCCCGGGCAUUUAUGUGGCACAGCAUGUUCAACAACUCUCCAAGCCAUUUCGCUAGCUGAGCUGGCAAUUGUGGUUUUCUGAAUUUAGUUCUCCUUCAAAUUAUACCUCUCUCUGCUUUCCAUCAGUGUUUCUUGCUUAGUGUAUGCCGUUUUUUUGUCAAUGCACGAUUUUUUCAACCAAUUGAGUGAUUUGUAAAGGAGAGACAAAUAACUGAUAGUCUCAAUUUUGUUGUAUUUAUUAUUUAUAUAUUUUCCAGAAUAGCAUCAAAUACCCAGUUUGUAUCCACAAGUGUGUUCUUUUCUAAUGUAUGCCUGUACAAAUAUUAUAAUGUUUGGUUGGAGAGAAUUGAAUAUGCUAACAUAGAUGAAUCAAACACGAUGAUUUCUCACCAAAUGCAAUACAUGCUCAACAAAACUAUAAUAUGUUCCCUGUUCUCUGGUUAUUAAUAUGGUUGGAAGUUCCACCAUUUGACCAAAAGCUCGGGUAUAAUAAUAAAUCAUAUUCCUCUCGGAGACCAGAGAAUCCAUGAUAUACUAUCGAUGGCAGGUUUAAUACCAUUUUAGGUAUGAAAAUUAUACGCAAUGAAGAUUCAGCUUCAAUAUACUUGACAUCAUAAACUUCAAACAAUAUUACUCUACAUAGCUAUAAGUUGUAAGCGUAUUCCUCAAAAGAAUCAACAAUUGUAUAAGAUAGUGAUGGUGAUAGAUUGAAUUGGGUUGACUGCGUUCAGUCAAGGUGGAAUGAACAACCUAAGUUUAUUCCUCAUCCACGUCAAGUCCCGGUACAUAUUCCAAACUUACAUCAAAUACUACUGGACUGUUUGGAGCCACCCUUGGUCUUCCUGGUGCAGAAUUAAGGCCUUUUGGGAAUGCCAACUGCCAAAAACAAAAACAUAUAGCCAACAAUUAGAAUUAAUUAUUAAUCCAAUCUAUAAAUAAAUUGUCAGCAUUUUGCAAUUGUUCUGUAACAUGCAUACACCUUUUCAAUCAAAAGUGAACUAAUUUUAAACACAAAUAUUAUCCCUUUUUAAGACUUUUAUAUAGCUUAUCAAUCUAAUUGUUUCAUAAAAUGAUUAAUCUGAUCCACAGAGUGACUGAGAAACAUACACCAGCUUUAUGUUGGAUAAAAACACAGAUUUCAGUUUAAUGUUUUGAAUCUUGCUAUGCUUGGAGAUGUUUCUGGCAUACAUGUAAAAGUAGGGUGGAGGGAAUCUACUGUCAACAAUGAAGAAAGAAGCUUACCGAUCCAGGUAUGUACAGCCGACGUUUCCCUCCUACUUUCAUGCUCAAAAGACCUUCAUCAAGUCCUUUUAUCACCUGUUAUCCCAUCACGUUGAUAAUCAGUUAGUCUUUGAAAGGACUAUCAAACACCAAGGCCUCAAAAUUACUGUACUUCAAUCAACAUUUAGUAUGAUUCUUGAGCUUAAAAAACACUCAAAGCAACAUUUAGGGUUUACCUGACCAGAUCCAACACGAAAAAUGUAAAGCUGGCCUUUCUCCAAUGAACUGUAAAAUUGAAAGGGGGGGGAGAACAGCACAUAAUGCACAUUAGUCAGGGUCAUACUCAGAAUCAGAAGCCAAAAUCAGUGAGCAUUGUAAUCAAGGGUUCAAAGAGGACAGCAUCAAAAACCAAAAUCAGAAGGUGACAGAAAACUGAAAAAAAGGAACUAUCAAGUUAAAACACCAAAGCUUUCCAAUAGUACUUGCUGUUUUCUAAAUGUGGCCAACUGUAGAAUAUUGUUAAUAGCACAAUUCAACAUCUUAUUAGGAGAGAAGAAAUUAACAUGAGUGAAGUUUGCUUAUAUUACACUCCGAAGGAAGUUCAAUUCAAACAAUACUUAUCAUAUAUAUACAACAGCAAACAUGACUAGCUGAUCUUGUAAUUUAAGGACUAACGAAAGAGCGAUAGAACUUUGUAAUUGGCGGAUACCUAUCAAAUAUUUGUCCAGAUGGAACCAUUGCAACAUAAUUGGCAGCAACCUAUCAGAAAGGCACAUGAAAAUGUAGUCAGUAUUGCUUUAUUGAGAACAAUAUCAAAUGCUGACAGAGGAAUUUACUACAGACAAAAGUCAUCUUUUAAGUUUAUUCAAGGUUAAAAUGUGAAUAAUAUAUUAAUCAUUUAUAAGGUAACUUCAAACAUUAUCUAGUUUAGAUUGAAAAGGAAGCAAAGAUGGGCACAUUGCAUUUGCAGAGAGUCAGAGACAUUUGCUAUCGUGAAGAACUCUGUUGAUAGCAAUCUCAUAUCAUUAUCAGGCACUGAAAUCAUCAAUUUUUGUUCAGUAUUUUCUACCUAGAAGGUGAAAAUAAAUAUAUAUUUAGAGUAUCAUGCCAUUUCCUAGGGAAAAAAGAUUCAGUUGCUUUCAUUCCUAAGAUACAAAUUAAGUAUUUGGGCAUUAAUCUCAUUCGAAAUUAGCAUUGACUGCGUUUUUGAAAUGGUGGAGACGGGCAUACAAGGGAAACUGAACAGGUCAGAAGAAUUUACAUACCUGAAAUCCAACUGGUGGACUAGGGCCCUGCCCAACUUUAAUAUCCUUGUAUUGCAAACCUGAUUCAGUAGUUACCAUAGGUACCUUCAUGUAUAAAUUACUCAGUGUAAGUCAUUAUCAUUAACUAUCGAUAUUAAUGGUUAUCUUGACAGAAUUAGACACUGCACAAGUAUAUUAGUUCUUAAAUUUCAUGCAACUGAACAGAGCUUCUGUCAGGGGAUUUUUGGUUACAACAAUUUUUUUUUUGAAAAGGUGAUUACAACAAAAUUUGAACCAAAAUGACAGCAUAGAACGAGUCUUGUGAUGAUCUCUAUUGCACUAGCACCAGUUUGUGAAGAACCUUAUAAUAGAAGUCCUUUUGUCAAAUCUUCAAGACUAACAACUUCAAUGACAUUACAAUGAUAUCUAAUGAAAAUUACAUUGAAGUUUCAAGUUCCUAAUUUUUUGAACUGGAAAACAUUUUAGUCACAUAUAGUCAACUUUUCAAAUUUUGCUGCCUAAUUUUAGUAGAUAAAUAUUAAAGAUGACGCAACUGCACGGAAUGUGAAUGCAUUCUGAGCAAUACAGAGACAUUAAUCAUAGGUAAGGCAUAGAAAGGGAACUAUGUAAUCUCACCAUACAUUUUCAAGCUCUUUCUCACAAGUUCCAUCACAUAAUUUUGGUUUUUCUUCUGGUGGUAAACCAGCUCCAUUGGCAGCAUCAAAUGAAUGGAUGAAGAGUGUAGAGACUCCUAAUGCUAAUCCAAGAAAGUCUCUACGUGAAUUGGUAUUAAAAAUAUCAUUAGCAGUGCAUUCCCUUGUCUCUGUGGACUUGACUUUAAGAGCAAAUCUUCUAAGUUUCUCAACAGAAAUGCUUUGAGAAGCAGUAAGAGAAGGAAUUUUACCACAAGUAGAAUCUAUAAAAAAAAGGAACAAAUCAAAUAUAAAUUAACAGUGAACUUGAUUACAGCAAUCACACAAUAUUAUGCAUUUUUGGACAGUGAGGAAGAGAGAAAGUGAAAGGACUUACAAAGUGGAAGCAGAAGAGGGGAAGCCAUGCUAGGCAUAUCCAAGGAUGUAAUAUUGUGUCAUGUGGUGAUGAUGUUAUUGUUUGCAAAUGGAACGGAUAAACCAAAUCUAGUUUGUCUAGUUUGAACAAUAAACAUUGGAACAUUGGAUUGUGGUGUGUGUUUUUUCAGAGCCAAAGACACUCUUCCACGUGGCAGAUAGAUAAAUCAUUCAAAGAGUCAUGGUUAGAGCUUGGACAGUUGCUAUCCGCACAUCCAUUUAUUUAAUACACUUCCUAGUAAAAAAAAUAAUUUUUCCCAAAAAAAAAUACACCUAGUAAAAAACUUUUGACUAAAUUCAUAUUUCUUUUUAAAAAUUAAGCUUGGUUUGACUAAACUUAUGUAGAUUAGGUAAAGGACUACUUCAUAGCUCCUAAACUCAUAUUUCUUUUUUAAAAAGUAAGUUUGGUUUGACUAAAAUUAAUCAAGUUUAUGUUUCGAAAAUAUAAUAUUUUGUUAAUUCAGUGGCCAUUUUAAAGUAUAUUGAUAAUUCAGUGGCUCAAUCAUCUUUCAUUUUAAAUUUCAGGCAUGUUGCCUUAUUCCUUAAGGCAUCACAUUCACAACAUUGCUUGCCACCUUUUCUGUUUAGUUUGCAGAUCAUCAACCAUUAGUUCAUCAAUUCCCUCUCAUCCAUCCAUGUCUUCCUUCUAUAACGAAGACUCAUUUUCCACUGAUUGCAGAUCAAGGAAGAGUCCGUUGAAAAUAUUUAGAAGCUAUGAAGUGUUCUUAAGUUAUAGAGGGGAGGACACUCGUGCUUCUUUCACCGCACAUCUCAAUGCUUCUCUUCUAAAUGCUGGAAUCAACGUUUUUAAGGACGAUGAUUCGAUUUACAAGGGUGCUCGCAUUUCAAAAUCGCUGCCUGAAGCAAUCGAACAAUCUCGAAUUGCUGUGGUUGUUUUUUCAAAGCAUUACGCGGAUUCAAAAUGGUGUUUGAAUGAGUUGGUGAAGAUAAUGAAGUGUCAUAGAGCCAUAAGGCAGAUUGUUUUGCCAGUGUUCUAUGAUGUAGAUCCAUUGGAAGUUCGCCACCAAAAAAAAAAGUUUGGUAAAGCAUUUCAAAAUAUUUUGACUAUGCUUUCAAAUCAGACGCAAGGAGAAGGACAUUAUAAAGAAGAGUCGUCACUUCGGAUGCUGAGAAGGAACUGGACAACCGCACUUCAUGAGGCAGCAGGGCUUGCAGGGUUUGUAGUGCUCCAUUUCAUGUAAUUCAACUUAAUUCAAGAAGUAUUCAUUCUAGCAAACGAUUUUGAAAGAAAAAAAAAGUUAUCUAUUUGAUUAUAUAUAUUUUAUUUUAAUUUUUUUAUCAAAUUUCCCCAUACCUUUGGAAAAAUGUUAUUUUGACAUGGACACCGUGUGCACUUUUCAUCAUUAUUACAUCGUUAAUGUAGUUCAAAUACAAUGUUAAUUACUUUUAAUAGAUGAUCCUAUAUUUGGGUUUUUAACAGGAAUGAAAGUGAGGCUAUCAAGGAUAUUGUUGAAAAAAUCGUGCGUUUGCUAGACAAGACACACUUGCUUGUUGCUAAUAAUCCAGUGGGAGUUGAACCUCGAGUGGAAAAUAUGAUUCAACUGCUAGACGAAAAAAUACCAAACCAUACUAGUGAGCUGCUAGGCUGCUACCCUUCCAACAAUGGCAAAAUCAAUUUCAAUUGAUAGACUACCAAGAAUCAAAAGAUGUUCUACUUCUAGGGAUGUGGGGUAUGGGAGGGAUUGGCAAAACCACCAUUGCAAAAGCCAUUUACAAUAAAAUUGGCCAAUUAUGAAUGUAGGAGCUUUUUGGCAAAUAUUAGAGAAGUCUGGGAACAAAAUGUUGGUCAGGUGUCGUUACAAGAACAGAUUCUCUUUGAUGUUUGCAAAGAAACGACGACCAAGAUUCAAAAUAUUGAGGAAGGAAAAAAUAAAUUAAAGGAUAGACUCAGCCAAAAAAAAGUACUUGAUGAUGUGAAUACAUUGGAUCAAUUGAAUGCUUUGUGUGGACGUCGUCAAUGGUUUGGUUCGGGUAGUAGAAUAGUCAUCACCACUAGAGAUAUGAACAUUCUUAGAGGAUAUAGAGUUGAUCAAAUAUACACAAUGAAAGAAAUGUGUGAAAGUGAAUCAAUUGAGCUUUUUAGCUGGCAUGCAUUCAAGCAAGCAAGCCCUAAAGAUGAUUUUGCUGAAAUUUCCAGAAAUGUAAUUGAGUAUUCUGGAGGAUUGCCGCUAGCUCUAGAAGUGCUUGGGUCAUAUUUGUUUGAUAGGGGGGGGUAACAGAAUGGGAGAAUGUAUUGGAAAAACUCAAAAGAAUUCCUAACGGUCAAGUACAAAAGAAGUUGAAAAUAAGCUAUGAUGCUCUAAAUGAUGAUACUCAGGAAGAUAUAUUCCUCAACAUAGCUUGUUUCUUUAUUGGGUUGGUCCGAAAUAAUGUAAUACAUAUAUUGAAUGGUUGUGAACUUUAUGCAGAAAUUGGAAUAAACGUCCUUGUUGAGCGAAGCCUUGUGACUAUUGAUGAAUUGGAACAGACUUGGAAUGCAUGAUUUGUUGCGAGAAUGAUGAAAAAAUUAUAUUAUUAUAUUGUUAAAUAAAAAUUGAGUCUGUUUUCACAAUUACAGAUUAUGAAUAACGAUGGCCAUUAUGGUGCUUUCCUACGCCAUGAUAAUUAUCCAAAUUGGUUGACCUUGUACAGUGAAGGUUCUUCAGUAAUUUUUGAAGUACCUCGAGUGGAAGGGCGUGUCUUGAAAACAAUGAUUUGCAUUGUUGAUUCUUGGACCUAUGCUAACAUAGCAUCAUAUUCAGAUGGCCUUCAAAAUGUCAUGGUGAAAAAUUACACCAAGUCCACCAUUCAGGUCUACAAGAGAGAGGCAUUAGUUUCCUUUGAAAACGAGGAGGGGCAUAUAGUAGUAUCAAGUAUAGAACCUGGAAACAAAGUGGAGGUUGUUUUUGUUUUUGAGUGGCGCAGUUUCAAAGUGAAGAAUACAACAGUUUAUCUCGUAUACGAUGAACUAAUUGGCGAAAUAAUGGAGCAAAGUCAAACAUCAGAAGAAAAUGCUAUUGUUUUUAUUGGUGAUGAAAAUGAAUCUAGCUCUUCAGAAGUGGAACACAUGGACGAAAAUAUUAGCACUGCUAGGUGUUGUGGAUUGAUCAAAUAUAGUUUCAGACAGUGGAUUGCAAAUUUCUUGUGUAGAUUAGUGGAGUGCUGGGGGUAGUCAAAUUGUUGGACUUGAUCUUGAUUCUGAAGCUGUGAUCUUAGUGCUUUAAUGUUGCCAUUGUAUUUGUUGGUCUUUAUGACUCAUGUUAGCCUACAAAAGAUGUAUUUAUUGAUCAUAUCAAUUGUAAAAUAUUUCAAUUUUUUUUUAUUAUGUCAAUUGAAUGGAAAGAGUUUGAUGGAUGCUCUUUGAAGUACAUAUACAAAAUGACAAAGGUGAGAGUGUAUUUGAUUUGGAUUACCAGGAUAAAUGUAAAAUAAAAUCAAGGAGUCAGCUUAUGAUCAUAAGAAAAGCCUUUCAAUAUGAUGCAAAUUUGGCUUCCUUAGUCUCAAUGUUUACAUUUCCAACUUAUAUUGCUCAAUUUGGGAUUCUUUGUUCUUUUUUGGAAUAUUAAAAUUGUUGUAUGUAAGACUUAACUCAACUGCCAAUACCAAUAUCGUUAGGUUGGACACCUCCAUUAAUGUUCGAACACGAGAACUCACAAUUAUGCGUAUGAGUUUCCGUUGAUACUUACAUAUAGGGAUAAAAUAACAUUAAAUUGUUUUUAGAACUUACAUAUAGGAAAUUGUUUAUCUUGGAAGAUGAAAAACUAAAGGUUAAAAUUAAUCUUCCAAGAAAUAUAAAUGAAGUGUAUGUUAAAGAAAUGUAUUAUAUAGUUAACUAUGAAGUAUUCUAAGUUGAUAAAAAAUUUCUUUCCUACCAGUUCAUCAUACAAAAAUAUUAUAAUUGUUUAUCUCGCAAUUAUAAACACUCUCUCAAACAUAAGCACUUAUUAUAAAUGAAAUAUAAGUUGAUAAAAACAUAAUCCUCCAAGAAUAAUUAACAAAAUUAAUGAAGUGUAUGUUUAAUUUUCUUUUGUAUAUAGGAUUUUUUUUUUGAAAGAAGACUUAUAUUAAGGAUGAAGGUAAUAUAUUUUAUUUGCAUCUUUUUUGUUCAUUUCGAUCUAUUAAACUAAUUUUAUCAUUUUGUAAAAUAUGAGAUUAAAUUUUGCUACCAAUACAUAUCACUACAAUAUUGAGAUUCAAAAUUUUGAUCUAUUCUAUUAUAGUUGUAAUAAAACGAGUGUAUCAUUAAUUAAUACAAAUGAUAGUUUGGAUAAAGAAAAACAGAAAAUGGCAGAGAGGGUGUAUAAGUAAACAAUAGGGGUUAAACAAUAAAUGGAGAAAUACUCCCUUCCCUUAGCCAGCCCAUUGAAAAAGGAGUUCGCAAACAUCGAAGAAGAACGAACGAGAGGAAUCACUUUCGCAAGGUUGAGAAUUGAAUUGAAUUGAAUUGAGUGAGUGUCCUCGAAAUCGCAAGCAAUAUCUUCAACUCUAUCUAUCUCCAACAAACUCUUCACUCCAACAAAAAUGGCGACGAAGCUUCAAAUAUUUACACAAUUACCCUCCGCACCACUUCAAUCUUCUUCUUCUUCCUCUUCUCUCAGAAAGCCUCUCGCCACUUCCUUCUUCGGCACCAGACCAGGUUCUCUCAUUUUCUCACUUAAUCUCAACGCUUAACGCUUAAUCAAUCAUUAAUCUAACUACUUAAUUCAAUUCUUCCAGCAAACACCGUGAAAUUUAGAGGGAUGAGGAUUGCGAAGCCUGUUCGAGGCGGAGGAGCGAUUGGUGCCGGCAUGAACUUAUUUGAAAGAUUUACGAGAGUCGUGAAGGUGAAAGAAAUUAAUCUACAACAAGUAGUUUUCAGUUUUUUCGAUUUUAGGUUUAAUUUUUCUCAUUUGUGAUUUUAGUAAUGCAGUCAUACGCAAAUGCUAUUGUAAGUUCGUUUGAGGAUCCCGAGAAAAUUUUGGAGCAAGCUGUGCUUGAAAUGAACGAUGAUUUGACUAAAAUGCGCCAAGCUACAGCACAAGUUAGUUACUAUUGAAAUUAUUGUUUCUGUUCUAUCCUUGUGUGUAUUAUCUGUUCUUAUCAUUGUUAUAUAUUGGUUUGAAAUUAUUGUUAUCCUUGUGUAUCAAAAUAAGCUGAAAACAGCUUAUGAACAUAUCAUAAACUGUUUCCAUAAGUUCUCCUAAACAGUUUCAUGUAACUUAUGUCAGUAGAUAAACUCAAAUAAGCCAAUCCAAACAGGCCCUAAAACUAACUUCAAAAUAGCCAGUUAUUUUUAUUGUAAAACCAUCUUAUUGUUGUUUCUUUUUUUCCCUUUCUUGAGGUGUUGGCAUCUCAAAAACGGAUGGAAAAUAAAUACAAGGCUGCAACGCAAGCUUCUGAAGAGUGGUAAUGUAUGAAACAAUUAUUUAUUUUAAUUCGCUUGCAGUGUUUGGCAUUUGAAUACCACUUUUGUGUUUUACACAUCUGAUGUAGGUAUCGUAAAGCACAACUUGCUCUUCAGAAAGGUGAAGAAGAUCUUGCUCGUGAAGCACUUAAGCGGCGUAAAUCUUUUGCAGUACGUCUUUGUUUUGUUCAAUUUUGUGGUUGUUAAUAUUCUUGUAAAUUUCUGCUUUAGAUUUUAAAGAGGAUUGUUUGUUUAUAUUUGCAGUGUGUAAUCAAUAAAGUUAUUAAGCUUUCCAUUUCCUUAUGCAUGUUUGUGAUAUGAUCAGUAGUUCAGUACUUUGUCCUCCUCACAUAGCUUAGCAAUAUCAAGACAUUUGCUGUUUGCAUUUGCUAUAGUUCUCAUUCCUGCGAGCAUUGGUAAAACCUUGAUUGGAACUGUACACCAUGUUCCUAAUUUAAAUAACCUCGUAACCAAAUAUUUAGGUUUGUGAGAGGAAAUGACCAUUAUGGUUGUCAUGUCCUUGGGUCAUUAUGUGGUUUGAUUAGCUGAAGUCAGUUCAGACAUUUAGAUGAUGACAGACCUCACAAUGGUUAACUUUUCUAAAGUGCUGUGAUGUGUACGUUUAUACUCAAGUUAGAUAUUGCUGUAUAUACAACGCUGAUGACAGUGUUGUGAUUGAAAAUUUUGGAAUUUGCUAUAGUUUGACAUCUUGUUGGACGAUACAGAAAAAUGUAUUUUUCAAAGUAGUGCCUUAUCACACAUUUAUCACAUAAUUGGAAAGCUCAUUAUAUGCUUUUAACAUGUUGCAGGAUAAUGCCAGUGCUUUGAAAGCUCAACUUGAUCAGCAAAAGGGUGUAGUUGACAGUCUUGUCUCAAAUACACGGGUAAGCUAAAUCUGUCUCUUUCUCAGUAGAGUCACUGCCUUAAAGCACCUAAAUGCCAUGUUUUUCACAAAACAAUGUUCUUGAAACGUUGGGCUGAAUUGCCGAACUGACUCUUUUUAUGGAGCCACAUAAUGGUGACUCAGUAAUAUCAAUCAAGGAAGUGCAAGUUGAAAGUUCAAUUUAGCUUAACUUUUUGGAUUAGUUGACUCUUGAUUAUGUUGUGGUUGUAUUAUUAAAACCUUACGAGGUCAUAAUUAUAUUUUCAGUUCUUAGAAUGAGUUCACAUUUACUUGAGCUCAUCUUACACUCUCCCCUAGGUUUGUUUUAGUAAUUUUAAUCACCCCUGAUAAUGAACUAUUGUUUGAUCUGCAUUUAUGUAUGGUUUUUUUUUUUUUUUUUUUUUUUUUGAUUUCCAAGUUUUACUUUUAGGGUUGGUUGAUGUAAGAAGCACCUUUCUGCAUUGUGUAGAAAAUUGGGUGUUCAUUCUCAAUCUGUUGAAGUGUAUUGCAACAUUUUAAUGCAAUCUUUUAGAUUAAUCAUUUUUAGGAGGUAUUGUAGAAAUUGCCACACAUUUGGUUGCACGGUGAAAUCCAAAUUCUAGGUAUGAUGCCUUAGGAAGGAACUAUAGGUGUAUUUGAAGCCUAGGCUAUUUUGCUUCUUUUUUUAUCUUCAGCUUCUUUCUUUCAAACUGUCAGGUUUUAAUUGUCUACUUCAAAAGUCUUUAUGUUCCAUCUAUGAUUAUCCCUAGAACCCAUAAACCAUGGUUUUCAAGGGUGCGGUUAUCAUGCAUAAGGAAUCUUUAUGCACCCUGCAUAAAUCCCAGCCCAUUAACCGGUAGCCCAACAUAAUUGCUUCGUACACCCCCAAGCGAAACCAAACAAAACAAAACGAAACAACACCGUCAUUCACCAUCAUCAUCACCGUACCGGAAUCAUCAUCAUCAUCACCAUUCACCGAAACCAUCAUCACCGUACCGGAACCAUCAUCACCAUUCACCGAAACCAUCAUCACCGUACCGGAAUCAUCACCAUUCACCGAAAUCAACUCAAAUAAAUAGUUUAAAAAUUGUAUAUGUUAGUUGGAAAUGGUUUCAGAGUGUUGAUUUGGUUCAAUAGUCACAAAUGUCCUUAUUAUAGUAUGUUUUGUAUAAAAUUAUGCCAAAACCAUUUUGCUGUGGAAAUGGUUUCUGUGAGUUGGACUCCAAAACCAUUUUGUUGUGGAAAUGGUUUCUGUGAGUUGUACUCCUAAACCAUUUUGUUGUGGAAAUGGUUUUUGUGAGUUGUACUCCAAAAUCAUUAGAUGUACUUAAUGGUUUUCUUUAAUCCAGCAGGGUGCAUAUGACAAUCAAAAAUAAAAAACAUAUGGAAUUUUCUAACCAUAACAAAACAUUUUCAAAACAAAGAAAAAACAUAUUGCAUUUUCAAACUUAGUACGUAUCCUCUGUUUCCAAUGGUAAUUUGGUAGAUGAUUACAAUUGAUAUAUCAUGUCAAAGAAUAAACUCCACAAACAUAUCGAAGCUAUUCUGCAAGGUUAAAAAUCCCGCAGCGGUGCCGGCACCGACCAAAGUUAUGACUUAUGAUGCGUUUCUUAGUUUUGGUUAAAGACAUUUGCGUUUUUAGGAGUUAUGGCAGAGACGCGUGGAGAAAGGAAGAAAGUUGCGUUUCUGAUCGGUGAAACAUAUUCCAAAUCUGAUGGUUGUGAAGUGUUUAUGCAGGGUGCAUAAGGAAAUGACUUAUGCAUAAUAACUUUUGCCGGUUUUCAAUGCUUGUAUGUUUUUUCAUUGUAAAAUACAUCAAUUUAUUUACCUCACCUUUAUUUAUGCAACUUUUUCCACCUACACAUACAAUAAUAUUUCUGUCCACUAGGCUUUUGGGAGAAGAAGUAUAUAUGAUAUCCGUUUAGAAACGAUUAAAUUGGUUGAACAAUUUUAGCUCACUGUUCUAAUACAGGCAUUUUUAAUUAGAAGCAGUUCAUAUUUAUUAUUUACCUCAAUUCUGAAUGUAAGCUGUUCAAUUUGUAGCUUUUGGAGAGUAAAAUUCAGGAGGCGAGGUCGAAGAAGGAUACUCUAAAAGCCAGAGCUCAAUCUGCAAAGUUUGUCUUUCAAAUCUUUUAUCCAUUUGCUUCCAUCUUAUUCCAUUCUGUAUUCUAUGGUUCUAUUAGUAAUGUCUUGUUGGUUGACGAUCCUCUAGGACUUCAACCAAGGUGAGUGAGAUGCUGGGAAAUGUCAAUACAAGUGGCGCCCUUUCCGCUUUUGAAAAAAUGGAAGAGAAAGGUGAGAAGAAAACUCACCGAGUCCACUCUCUAUACAUAAAUAGUACUUAUAUCCCAGUCUGCACUUAUUGUUUGAAACAAUUUGUUUGCCCACAAAUGUACUCUUUCAUUUACAUGCCACAGAAAGAUUUGAAGUUCCAUGCUUCCUUUCCUGCUUCUCUUUUUUUUGCUCAUCUAUUUGCCUAUCAGUAUAUAACCAAGCUUUGAAAUCUGGGAGAAAAUCUGACAUCUUGAAGCUUAUAGUGGGUCAAUUUUUUUUGAAUGUUUUCAACUAUUAAGAAAGAUCUAGAGAUUAAUGAGUUGGAUCGAAAUAUGGUUUAUGAUAGAACAUUGUGGUGUAAUUUGAUCCAUGUAGCAGACCCCAUUUAGUGGGAUAAGGCUUGGUUGUUGUUGUUGUUGGAUAUAUUAUUGCACGAUCUUGAGAUUUUUUAUUAGGAUGAACCUAAUGAUUGUCAUAUCAUAAAUUAAUAAGUGUAGUUGCUGUCAUAACAACAAAAGCGAACAUUUCCAAACAUGCUAAAAAUUUUACGGCCCAAUUAAUGGAAUAAAAUACAGGCGAACAUUAGCAUCAGUCUACAUUCCAUGUCCAGCAGAGUUAUGUACCUUAGGUUUUUAUGUGCUUUCAUCAUUGCAUUUGAACUUAUUUUCUAUUAUCUUAAUAGUGAUGACAAUGGAGUCCCAAGCUGAAGCUCUGGGUCAGUUGACAAGUGAUGAUCUUGAAGGGAAGGUAAGUGACUAUUUAUGUACCUAAUGAGUUUGUGUCUAUCUAUGAAUUGUAUUGAGUUUGAAAUUGAAAUGGCAGAAAUGGAAAAGAAAGGAAACCUAGGGGCAUGCUUGGUUUGCAAAAAGUUUAUGUUAUCAUUUCUUUUCUUCACUCUAUCUCUUGUUUCCAAAGUUUUGUAUAAUUGUGAAAACAAAAAUUUGUUUCUUAUACAAAACUUUGAAGUCAAGAAAGAAAGUAAAAACGAUGUGAUAUUUUUGUAAUUAAAAGUAAAAAGAAGAUAUGAAAACAAAAACAGUGACGAAAAUCCAAUACACCCUUGGUUUAUUUUAAUUUAUUUCUUAUGAGAAACGGGAUCAAAGGACCCAAACCUAAUUUUAUAUUUCCUAUGUAAAGAUGUUAUUUAAAAUAGUUGAAAUUAAAAUCAUAAUAUUUACAUAUCUAGGUUUAGUAUGUUUCUCAGGUGGUUUCAUUAAAUACCUGCAAAUGAGAUGUCAAAGUUUUGCGUGAUAAUUGGUUUAAAUUGUUGAUAUUUUGCAGUUUGCAAUGCUUGAGAGCUCAUCCGUUGAUGAUGACCUUGCAAAUUUGAAGAAAGAAUUAUCUGGUAGCUCAAAGGUAUGCUUCAAACAGCAAAUAGAGUGUAUGUAUGAAUAGGAUGAAUUUUUAUAUGUUAAAUAAAGUCUUUCCAACCAGAAGUUGUCUAACCAGUGAAAGAAGGGAGUGAAUAAUAUAUCUUUCCAAAAGUAUUAUAUUAUGCCACAAAAAAGUAAAUUUGAAGAGAAAUUGUCAUACAAUACUACCAACAUUCUACAUAUACUUUUUUGUUUCAUCGUUGGACUGUUUGCUUCAAGCAGAAAGGAGAGCUUCCUCCUGGAAGAAGUAGCACCAGGACUGGAACUCCAUUUCGAGAUGCUGAUAUUGAGACGGAACUUGAGCAACUGAGACAAAGAUCAAAGGAGUUUUAAAGUAUGGAAAUUUUGUCAUUAUUGUAUGCUUGAAUUCAGUACUUUAUUCACAUAUCAACAUUGUACAGCUAAAGGCCAGUCAUGAUAAUAUUAUUUGACUUGUGGCCAAAUUUGGAUAAAAAAAAUGGAACAUAUUAGCUGUGUGUUCUGAUAACUCAAGUUACACUUACAUAUAAACACCUUCGAUCUGAUAAUGUUAUCCUGACAUGCAUACGGUUAGGAUAUUUUCAUGGCAUAAAGCUGUAAAUAUUUUCUUAACAUGUUUUGCAAAGAGCUUGGAUAUAUUACAUUUAGUAACAGACUCAGACCCGCAGGUUUUUGCUGCCUCCUGACUUUGGAUGUAAACAUGUUCAUUGAGGAGCAAGGUUAGCAACACGAUCAAUUAUGUUCAUAAUAUACGAGUGUCUCUUUUGUUAUUUGUGAUCUACGAUACUUACAUUGUAUUUUGAACCGACAUAAAUACGCAGACUCCAUAGCCAGAUUUAUGUGGAGAAUAUAAAGUAUAUUUUGCCAAUCCAAAUAAUGCUUGUUUCCUGUGCAUAUUUUUCAAAUUUUGCUAUACCCUAAGUCGUAAAUCUGCAUGGAUAUGGAAAAGCAGUACUCGGAGCAAGAAGGCUGCACUGGUUUGAAGCUAAUUCUUCAAUGUUUCCGAAUUCAAAUUAUAGGAAAAUUUUCCGUUGCGGUUAGAAAGUAGAAACCAGCAUAUGGACAUUAAAGUCGUUAAUUUAAUCUUCGAUAUUAAUGUUCAUAAUGAUCUAAAAUGAAUUUGAUUUUUUGAAGGAAAUCUAAAAUGAAGAAACUAUAAAACAUAUUUCGGUCUACACUUGUAUAAAUGUAGACUAUUGACUUUUGAAGUUGAAUAAACAUUUGGUAUUCAAUAAUGGGAAGUGGAAGAUAACAUUACAUUACGACUUAAAGGAAUAUUAUGUUGAUUUGCAGACGGCUUUGACAAAUUUUAGUUAUCAGAAUUAGGACGAUGCGAAAUUGAAAUUUUUGGAUUCCGGUGUCAUAGAUAAAGCUAUGAGCAUUUAUUAUCCCACCUUUAUGUUUUUUGUACGCCUUCUAAAUUUUCAAUCGUGAUGUUUGAAAUUGAAUUAUAUAAUUUCAAGCGUGCUUUUAAAUUUUAGAUUAUAUAAACUAGAAUCUAUUACAAUAAUAAAAUCUGUUAUUAAAUUAUCCUGUACCUCAAUGAUAACAUAAUUCAACCGCAACAUAGUUCAACAUCAUAAAUUCAAUGGAGUAAUAUUACAAUAACAAUUGCAACAACAUAAUUAAUCACAAAUCUUAACAAGAUUGUAAUGAACAAAACUAAUUUUUUCAUUGUGUUUGUCCAUGCACGCACUAUUCUUCGCAUGUCUUGGGUUGAACCAAACUUGUUUAAGUAACCUAAACAAGACUUAUCAAUGUAGCGUCUAAUUUGAUCGGUCCUUUGAACUAUACUGGCCAAAUGUAGAGAACACAAUUCUCACAUUGUCGCUUUGAAACGUCAUCUAGGUAAACCAAACGCGUCCAUCUAGACGAAACUCAACAUCAAUCAUCCUUCUUAUAUUGGCGUGGUUGAGACGAUCAUUAAUUUGGUCUAGUUGAUCCUUCAAGUCAGAUGAUGUAUUAUCAUCACAAAUCUUAAACAUAUUGGUCUCCCUCUGUUGUGGUAAACAAUAGGUAGGUUAAUGUUCAUUUCUAAUGGAUAAAUGUUCAUGGUUUAGUGGUAUGGAGUGCAAAUGAACCAAACACAUUAAUUUAUAAAAAGUUUUGUGCGUUGUUAAUCAUAGGAAAAUCAUGUAUAUUUAAUUUACAUGAUUUGAAUUGUACCAAACCCCUUAUCCACACAUUUUUUCUUAGUAUGGGCAUCAAUACAUUGAUAAGUUUCAGAUUCUAUAAACUGAACGAGUAAAAUACUGUUUUGAUUUAUAUAAUUUGAAUCAAUGCACAAAGUUACACAAGAUAUAUAUUUUCUGAACAUAAUAUAACAACAUAACACCAUAUAAUAAAAUAGAUCACAAUAUAAUAAAAUAGAAAACAUAUAACACAUAAUAUUAUCUAAACGUAAUACGUAAGUGUUAGCACAUAAUAUCAUAAAAAAAUGUAAUAUACCUACGAUCAAAUAAAAUUCAUGAGUUAACAUUAAAAAACCAAUUAAACACAAUAUUGAUGAAUUCUCCAAUUCAGAUUCUAUUUUCUGAAGGGCAUCAAAAAACCAGAAGAAGAAACAAUAAUUCAAUCAAACUACAAAUAUUUGAGAAAAUGUGGACUUUACAUCUUGUGUCGUUGCAAGAAAUGUCUCUAGUUUGAAGAAUUCGACCAAGUUUAGUAGAAAAUUGAGACAAUGAGAAGAGAUUUAGAUUUGAAGUGUUUUUAUGGAAGUUUUUAGGUAAAUUUCGAAAAUGUGAAGUGAGCGAAAGUAACCGAGCAUUGCAUAUAUAAUAGUACAAAUCAAAUUAUACAAUCCAAAGCAUGUUUUUAAGUUUUGGAUUAUUUCAUUAAAAUUUGAAUUACGAUCAAUUUAUAUCUAGUAUAAAUCACAUACAACAUCAUUUGAAACAUAUCACAUCAUUAAUUUUUUUUGCUAAAAAUAAGAUAGAGAGAUCAAAAUUAUUAAAUUUUAAAAUAGAGAGUCAAUCAACUCUACAGAAUAAUAAAAAUAGAAGAUCAAAAUUGUAAUAAACCUUUAAAAAAAAAAAAGCAAACACACUUAGGUUUUAGUAAAGUAAAGGUGAGUAGUUUAGUGACUUUAAAACAUGGAAGGAAACUCAAAGACAAAGUUGUGAUUGAAUUCCCCAACAAACUUACAAAUAGGUUAGGUGUAACUACUAACAUUUGUAAGCCUUAAAAAACUAACAUUUGUAUUUGAUUUUUUUCUUCAAAAAAUACAUUUGUAAUUAAUUUCAGAAUAUAAACCAACACAAAGUUUAAGUGAUAAAUUAAUUGCACGUACUACGUAUUUGUUAGGUAACCUAUCAUUUUCACUUUCUCAGACAGAGUCAAGUAUGAAAAAAAGAGUUGGUAGUCAAUUCAAUUUUUCUGACUUGUAAUCGCGACUAUAAACAUUACAUAAAAUCAAACGUACUAUAUUUUCAUCAUUACUUUCCUCAAAAAAAAUUUCAUCAUUACUUUGUUAAUACUAUCAGCCAAAGCUACCCUCCAGAAUUUGCACUUCUGAUAUCAACAUAUUCAACUUUAGACUUUAGCAAACUUUGACAUUUUCAAACGUGGAAACCAUGUAUUAAUCUCUUACCAGGCAAAUGUGCAUCACAUUUUAUAUUAUAUAAGUAAAUAUGUUAUAUUAUCUGGAACCAAAUUGUAUAUAUCAUUUGCAUUUAAAAAAUAAAUAAAAAAGAGUAUACUAACAUUAAAAGUGAAGUAAAAUAAAAUAUUAUUAUUUGGUGCUGCGUGGCAGCUUCCCCAAGUCCUUGGUCAGCACGUAAUUGCUUCAAGUUCAAACUAUUGUCCACUGAAAAAGCAGAUAAGUCCAAAAAGACAAGCACAAAUUUAACACAACUCUUUUCUUUGUCACACUAUAAAUAUGUACCAAACCCUGCUCCCUUACUCCACCACCAAGCCACAAAGCAAUAACAACUCUCCAUAGCUAGCAACCAUACUCUUUUCAAGUUCCCAAAAAUGAGUUAUGUAAAGGCAUGUACCCUUUUGAAUUUGAUCACAAUUGUUAUGAUCUGUUUGGCUAUUUUGAUGAGUGAAAGUCAAAGUAGUAAGGUGGAGGCAAGUAGGGUUUUAAGGAAUUCACAAGAGUUUGCAUUUGCAAGAGCUAAUCACCUUCAAACAUCAGCAUAUGAACAGGCCAAGAACACAAUGACAAUUUGGCUUCAACGUUUGCCUUCUGGACCAAGUCCUAAAGGCCCUGGUCAUUGAUUUAUUAUAUCCAUUAUUCCACUCAAAUACUUGCUCAAAAACAGAUAUGCCUUUAUUUUCCUUAUAGCUACAUAUAUAGCUGAAUUAUUUUAUUCAUUUCUUCGGUUCUUUAAUUUUCUUUAGGUCAAUUUUACUAGAUAGAAAUAUAAAGGAUAUAUGUAGAAAACCUGCGGAUCUAUCUAUCAAAUUCAAAGAGAUCCAUGUGUUUUUGAAAUGUAAGAUUCUUUAAUUUAUGUAACUCAAUUUUUGUUUCACAAGUCUCUAAUCUUUAUGUGUAUUUUGUUCCCUCAUGGUGCACGCACGAAAACCGGUCUACUAUGGUUAGAAUUUUAACAAAGUUAUAAAAUCGGUGGGAAUGACGAUUUUCGUUGCUAAUCAACACAAAUUAUUCAAAAUUUAUUUAUUUGAAUAAGGGAGGAAUUGAGAGAUGGACUUUUAAAAUAUCUUUAAAAUUAAUCUCGAUAGUGGAAAAUCUCCUUUACAAGAUUGCUCAACAACACCGUGUAAAUCACUCUGGAUUCAUAUGUUUACAUAUUUAAUAUUAAAUUCUUUCAAAAAAUAUUUAAUAUUAAAUAAAAGAUAUGAUCAUUAAUUUUGUAAAAGAGCAACGCCUCUACUCAAUUCACAUGAACGAUCAAUCUUAGAGGAGAACGUUGUGCUAGCUCACAACUACAUAGAUGGAUGAACAAGUGAGAUUGUUUUACAAGCUCAACCCUCUUUUCAUUUAAUUAAAUUAACAAUAAUAUAAAAUAUUUAAAUUAAAUGUUAUAAACAAUGAGUAACAUCUAACAACAUCGUUGUGUUGCUACCCAAUUUAUGAAAAAAUUGGUGAUAUGAUUUUAAAUAAAUGAUACUGUUUAACUUGUCAAAA